RNAcentral lists this long non-coding RNA (238 nucleotides) under Linum usitatissimum (flax). Its description in RNAcentral is "long non-coding RNA (LUSI_LNC000446)". The record is from RNAcentral. Lineage: Eukaryota; Viridiplantae; Streptophyta; Magnoliopsida; Malpighiales; Linaceae.
GAUUUAAGCCAGUGGCUGACGUGGCAUGCAUCGAAACGACAGCGAUGAACACCAAAACGAUGCGUCUCCCUCCCCGGCGCAAUUUGGCGUCAAACAAGCGUAAAGAAAGAGAUGAUCCCUCCUCCGACUCUUACAAGCCGCCGACACCCGCGGCUCCACCUCCGCCGCCGUUUGCCACAGUGAAGCCACUGGGUAAGCCGGUUAUCGGUCCGACCGGUUCGGAUAAAUUGGUCGAACC